AUCAUGGUUACUUGGAUGACGGCUACAACUUUCUCUCUGAGAACAUAUGGUAUAUAGACUGCGUGAUCCUCAUGGAACAGGAUACAUUACCACAUGCUGAACAGCAGAUUUCUUCUGGGGCUCUUAAAAGCUGUAGGCGUGACAGACCUGGAAGCACCACAGAAGACAGAAAGCGACUUACAGUGCGUUCAAGAUGUCACUGUCCAACUGAUGCCAUGUUGUUCAGUGCUUGUUUAGCGGUUUCUUGAAUGUUAAGAUGGUUUCAACAGAUCGGGUGGAGGUUAGAAGCUCAUUCCACCACAAAGGAACAGAGAAAUUAAAUAUGGAGAGCAACAUCGUGCCUUGCAAUGGAGCCACCACUCACCAUCAUUCAUCAAUCAUGAACUGUGCUGAAAUUCUCCAGGAAAAAAGCAGUUGAAAAGAACAAAUAAUUCAAUUUACUUUUACAUUUCUGUAUUACUUACUCGAACAGAAGAAUUCUAUCAUGUUAAAUUCUGACGAAUGCUGUUUACUCUUUUCCACGCAGUUACAAUAAAUAUGGAUUGAAGCUUCAAGCUUAAAAA
Xyrauchen texanus (razorback sucker) is the source of this 563-nucleotide long non-coding RNA. RefSeq lists it as uncharacterized. NCBI's taxonomy places the organism in Eukaryota, Metazoa, Chordata, Actinopteri, Cypriniformes, Catostomidae. The record is from RefSeq and is a predicted model, not a curated record. The transcript is spliced from 3 exons.